UUUCUGCUGCAGAGGAAGAACUGCUUUCCGCAAGGCUGUCAUCCCAAAAUAACAGCCUGCGAUUCAGAGACUUUAUUAAGAAGACACCAGGUUUUACUCAAUCUGCAGAGGCGGAGCAAAAAUUUUAUGUUGGAGUACAUAAACUCAUCCCACUGUCUUGGGAUAUUCAAACUUUAUUGAACAGGGAUACACAAUGGAGAUCUACUCAUCAACUGCAUGUGUAGUGACAAUCUUGUACAUUUUUGCUACAUCCUCUGCGCAAGGAAUUUGCCAUCAUGACAGAGGAAGCCACAGCAAUGCAGGUUUCAGUGGACAGAUGGAAGGCAGCCAUCAUCUGCACUGUUGUGGAAAUGUGUCUUACAAGAUCUCAGAAAGCUCCUGCUGUAAUGGAAAUGUAACUCUGGGAUUAAGCCAGCUGGUGACUGACUGUUGUGAUUCUGUAGCUUACAAUCCCCUUAAUGAGAUUUGCUGUAAUGGCAGCAUACUGACUCGAAGCAGCACUCACAUGAAAUGCUGUGGCAAAGUUAUGUACCUGACAACAACUCAUUUGUGUUGUGGUGGCGGCAACAUAUUUGAAUGGAAGGAAAAUCAUUCUUGUUGUGGCAAAGAAACGUAUGACAUGACAACCCACUGCUGCUGUACUAACCUUACACUAGAAGUAAAGCCUAAAAAUGAAACUUGCUGUCCAAAAGCAACAGACACUGAUGAAAGAACAGAAUGCCAGCAAGGCUCUCUUCCCACCCGAACACUCUCCAAAAACUCGGAAUUGAAGUGUGGAUCAACACCCUACAAUCCCCAGAAACAAAUUUGUUGCUCAGUGAAUAUUCAUGAGAAGGCUUCAGCACUUACUAAGUGCUGUGGCAAAGAUGUUUACACUCUGUCAGAUGACAAUGUGCUGUGCUGUAAUGGAAUCCUUCAUCUCAAUGUGCCUGAGCAGUCAGAGUGUGUUGGAGGUGUUAUAUAUACUCCACCAAACACUAUUUGCCAAAUGUCUGCUCGUCCCCGUCUUGGUAAGCACUGCUGUGGAGGACAAACCUUCAAUCCUCGCACACAUAUUUGCUGUAAUGGACACAGCCACAACAAGAUGAAUGGCAAUUUAUGUUGUGGUUCAGAAGUCUAUGACCACCACAACCAGUUGUUGAGAUGCUGCUCAGGUCAUCUCUACAACCUAACACGUUUAAGUGGGGAAACAGAGUGCUGUGGAAACCAUCUGCUGGAAUAUAAGACACAAACUUGCUGUUCUUCCUCAACCAAUGCCAUAAUUUAUGACACCAAAUCAAACCACUAUUGCUGUGGGCAUUUCUAUUACAACACGUCCCUGUGGAGCUGCUGUGCUGAACAUCUCAAACCAACACCAACGCCUAACAGCUCUCCUGCAGAAUACAGGCUUAAACCACUAAUGGACCUGAUCCCUGAAAUGUGCAAUAAAACAGGUGAUGUUCUUGAACAUUUAUUGUGGUGCAACCCGAAAUGCU
RNAcentral lists this long non-coding RNA (1475 nucleotides) under Sinocyclocheilus grahami. RNAcentral's name for it is "lncRNA (ENSSGRG00000000233.1)". Lineage: Eukaryota; Metazoa; Chordata; Actinopteri; Cypriniformes; Cyprinidae. The record is from RNAcentral.